AAAGUACUCCCUCCGUCCCAAAAUUCUUGUCUUAGAUUUGUCUAGAUACGGAUGUAUCAAGUCACAUUUUAGUAUUAUAUACAUCCUUAUCUAGACAAAUCUAAGACAAGAAAUUUGGUACAGAGGGAGUAGUUG
Non-coding RNA from Triticum aestivum (bread wheat), 135 nucleotides. NCBI's taxonomy places the organism in Eukaryota, Viridiplantae, Streptophyta, Magnoliopsida, Poales, Poaceae. The record is from Rfam.